CCUACGGGAGACAGCAGUGAGGAAUAUUGGUCAAUGGACGAGAGUCUGAACCAGCCAAGUAGCGUGAAGGAUGACUGCCCUAUGGGUUGUAAACUUCUUUUAUAUGGGAAUAAAAUGUUCCACGUGUGGGAUUUUGUAUGUACCAUAUGAAUAAGGAUCGGCUAACUCCGUGCCAGCAGCCGCGGUAAUACGGAGGAUCCGAGCGUUAUCCGGAUUUAUUGGGUUUAAAGGGAGCGUAGGUGGAUUGUUAAGUCAGUUGUGAAAGUUUGCGGCUCAACCGUAAAAUUGCAGUUGAAACUGGCAGUCUUGAGUACAGUAGAGGUGAGCGGAAUUCGUGGUGUAGCGGUGAAAUGCUUAGAUAUCACGAAGAACUCCGAUUGCGAAAGCAGUUCACUGGACUGCAACUGACACUGAGGCUCGAAAGUGUGGGUAUCAAACAGGAUUAGAUACCCCUGUAGUC
RNAcentral lists this ribosomal RNA (460 nucleotides) under uncultured bacterium. RNAcentral describes it as "partial 16S ribosomal RNA". It matches the Rfam family "Bacterial small subunit ribosomal RNA", at positions 338 to 795 of the family's 1533-position model. The record is from RNAcentral.